Molecule: ribosomal RNA, 301 nt
Filed under: uncultured bacterium
Lineage: Bacteria
Description: partial 16S ribosomal RNA
Rfam family: Bacterial small subunit ribosomal RNA
Source: RNAcentral
CAGCAGCCGCGGUAAUACGAAGGGGGCUAGCGUUGCUCGGAAUGACUGGGCGUAAAGGGCGCGUAGGCGGCGGCCAAAGUCAGGCGUGAAAUUCCCGGGCUCAACCUGGGGGCUGCGUUUGAUACUUGGUCGCUUGAGUGGGGAAGAGGGUCGUGGAAUUCCCAGUGUAGAGGUGAAAUUCGUAGAUAUUGGGAAGAACACCGGUGGCGAAGGCGGCGACCUGGUCCUUUACUGACGCUGAGGCGCGAAAGCGUGGGGAGCAAACAGGAUUAGAUACCCCGGUAGUCCCUGUCUCUUAUAC